This 502-nucleotide ribosomal RNA is filed under the name uncultured bacterium. RNAcentral describes it as "bacterial SSU rRNA". It matches the Rfam family "Bacterial small subunit ribosomal RNA", at positions 28 to 489 of the family's 1533-position model. The record is from RNAcentral.
GACGAACGCUGGCGGCGUGCCUAAUACAUGCAAGUCGAACGCACUCUCGUUUAGAUUGAAGGAGCUUGCUCCUGAUUGAUAAACAUUUGAGUGAGUGGCGGACGGGUGAGUAACACGUGGGUAACCUGCCCUAAAGUGGGGGAUAACAUUUGGAAACAGAUGCUAAUACCGCAUAAAACCUAACACCGCAUGGUGUAGGGUUGAAAGAUGGUUUCGGCUAUCACUUUAGGAUGGACCCGCGGUGCAUUAGUUAGUUGGUGAGGUAAAGGCUCACCAAGACCGUGAUGCAUAGCCGACCUGAGAGGGUAAUCGGCCACACUGGGACUGAGACACGGCCCAGACUCCUACGGGAGGCAGCAGUAGGGAAUCUUCCACAAUGGACGAAAGUCUGAUGGAGCAACGCCGCGUGAGUGAAGAAGGUUUUCGGAUCGUAAACUCUGUUAGUUGGAGAAGAAUGUAUCUGAUAGUAACUGAUCAGGUAGUGAUGGUAUCCAACCAGAAA